AUUGAACCCUGGCGGCAUGCUUUACACAUGCAAGUCGAACGGCAGCGCGGGCCUCGGCCUGGCGGCGAGUGGCGAACGGGUGAGUAAUACAUCGGAACGUGCCCAGUAGUGGGGGAUAGCUCGGCGAAAGCCGGAUUAAUACCGCAUACGACCUGAGGGUGAAAGAGGGGGAUCUUCGGACCUCGCGCUAUUGGAGCGGCCGAUGGCAGAUUAGCUAGUUGGUGGGGUAAAGGCCUACCAAGGCGACGAUCUGUAGCUGGUCUGAGAGGACGACCAGCCACACUAGGACUGAGACACGGCCCAGACUCCUACGGGAGGCAGCAGUGGGGAAUUUUGGACAAUGGGCGAAAGCCUGAUCCAGCAAUGCCGCGUGUGUGAUGAAGGCCUUCGGGUUGUAAAGCACUUUUGGCGGGAACGAAAAGGACUGUGCCAAUACCACGGUUCGAUGACGGUACCCGCAGAAUAAGCACCGGCUAACUACGUG
RNAcentral lists this ribosomal RNA (484 nucleotides) under uncultured bacterium. RNAcentral's name for it is "partial 16S ribosomal RNA". It matches the Rfam family "Bacterial small subunit ribosomal RNA", at positions 29 to 507 of the family's 1533-position model. The record is from RNAcentral.